GUAAGGCAGACCUUUCUCGGGCUCCCUCCUACCCACCUCUCUUUCCUAGAGAAGCUCCGCGAUCAUGUUUUGCUGCUGGACGAGGACCCAAAUGCUCUGGGCGCUGGGGUCAGGAAAGUGGGGAACCUCAAAUGAAAGGAGAGAUGGGGCUGUGGCUGUCAGCUGGAAAGUGCUGCUUGAAUUUGAGGUGCUGUGGGUCCUCAAAGCUGAUAACCAAGUGACCCCCUUGUGCCCGGAGGCCCUGCCUGCUACCCUGAGUGCCCUGCCUAGCACCAAGGAGCACCUUGCCAUUCUGCUGGUAUCCCUCUGAACUGCCAACAUCCCGGAAGUGAGGACUGGGGACACUCCACGGCUGGGAACAUCCUUCAGUCAAGAGUCAGGAUAGCCUAGUGGUUAAGAACUUGGCCAAGCCCAUGAACUGCAGGCCCAACUCUGCCCAUGUCCUAACUCUGUACUUUCCACCCAUGUUCUUGGGCCAGUUGCCUUCUUCUCUGUAUUCCAGGGUCCUUGUCUGUAAAAUAGGAUAAUAUGAGUGCCCACCAGAUAAGGAUUAAAUGAGUAACUCUAAUGUGCUCAGAAGAGUGUCCUGGUAGAUGGUAAACAUGUUAGUAUCCUUACUGUUACCUGACGUUUUUCUGGUUCCUGUAGUGAUGGAGGCUGACUAGGAGGUUCCUGAAUCAGUUAUGAAAGGAUGCUAGUGCAGUGAAGACUCUCCGGUGCAGCGACUGAAGUUUUCGGCGGAAUAGGACUCUUCUGAAGAAAUGAUUGUGGUAGACUCUCUUUGAAGAAAAGUUAACCUAUGCCCCUAAAUUUCACAAACCUUUUCAGAAGGUUUCAGUCCAUCCAUGGAAUUACUGGGGUCUAUAGCCUCUUGGUUAGGAAUUUCUGUUUUAUUGCCUUCUUAUUUAUUAGGUCAUCAGAACCACCCAUGCACAGCCAUGGAUGGAGUAAUGAUAAGCAUCUGACUAGAAAAUUUCGUUGUGGGUUCUAUCCACUGAUGGUCAGAAGAGAAAAUAAAAUGUAUGUGUGAUUGAAUCCAAAUUAGACUUUAUACAAUCUCUUUCUUGAGUAGUAUACCUUUGAAGCAUGCCAUUGCAAUCUUUAUCCAAGCCCAAUGAUACUGCCUUGAGAGAACCUUGGAGAAAUUCUUUCUGUUUCUAUCCCUAUGGUAGCUGCAUAUACCAAGGACUACUCUGCUAAGAAUUCCAAAUUCUGGAGAAAUGGAAGGUCAAAGUCAUGAAUAUCUUAGUUAACAAGGAAAAUUUCCUUAUUUCAAGUUGGAUGAAGAACUCUCUUUUGUACAAUGUUUAUAGGUUAGGGUUUGGAAGAACUUAAAUUAGAAAACAAAUAAUGGCAAGUGUACACUUUGAUAUGAUAUUACCCUGGAUGGCUUAAUUGUAAUUUGGUAGAAAUUAAGGUUUGGACACACAAGAGUUUAAUUUUCAGGUUGGACAGAAGCAUAUUUCAAAUCUCCUAAAAUACUGACUUAACAAGCGUGUUCUUGAUUUCUUUCUCUACUUCCCUACCAUAGCUUUUACAAAAUUAAUUUGUUACAUGGAAAUAUCCUAAUCAUUUUUCCAUCAAACCAUGGGUAUUCCAGAGGAAGAAAGGGGGCCUUUUUUUUUUUUUUUGAUUCCAUUAAGGGUUGAAAACCCAUAGAAAAAAAUAGUAGUUGAAGGCUACGUGAAAAACAAUCAAAGUAGUAUCAGUAUUUUCUCUUCUUAGACAUAGAAAUGACUGAUUUAAAAAUUAAGCACAAGGAAGAUAAAAGAAUACUUAUACAAUUGAAGUUUUAAUUAACUUGACUGUAAGAGUGUGGAAGUGGAUGGAGUUGAUGGUAACACAUUUUAGUGAGAAGCCGCUCACUAAAUGUGAGGCUGAAAAAGGUAGUCUAGGGAUGUAAAUGUCAACUGAAAGACAGCUAGAGAAUAAUCUAGGGACUGAAUAAUACAGCAAACCCAGAGGUGGAUGAGAACUGUGGUUAAUAGUACAAAUGCAAGAAAGUCCUUCUGUGAACUAGAAUGGAUGUCCUAUUGCAGGGUGGAGCAUGGGAAAAAGCAUGGAGAAGCAUGGGAAAAAUCUAAUUAGUGUACUCUAUGGCCUACCGUUAACAGCAAUACUGUAAUAUUCUUGCAUCAAUGCCAAAGAUGCAAUGUCUUAAUAAUGGGGGAUAUGAAAAAAAUAUGCCAAAUGUAUGCUAUGGUCAGUGGUAAUAGUCUGAUGGUAUUAUCUCAUAAUCUGUAACAAAUGUUCCACAACGGUGUGAUGUGUUGGUGAAGGGGUGUUGCAUGGGAAUUCCACACAUGUACAUGGUUGUUUUGUUAGUUUACAACUGCUGUAAUAAAAUUAUAUUAGAAAAGAAUAC
Dasypus novemcinctus (nine-banded armadillo) is the source of this 2365-nucleotide long non-coding RNA. NCBI's taxonomy places the organism in Eukaryota, Metazoa, Chordata, Mammalia, Cingulata, Dasypodidae. The record is from Ensembl.